GCAAGGAUAAAAACGCAACGCACAUACGAUGUGCCAGAGCCGGUAGGUAGCCCGGCCGUCCCAUCGCUUUCGAUGGGGUAAGUAACCUGCCCCUCCGGGUUGUCCGUUCUUUGCUCAUAAA
Molecule: non-coding RNA, 121 nt
Filed under: human gut metagenome
Description: yjdF RNA
Rfam family: azaaromatic riboswitch aptamer (yjdF RNA)
Source: RNAcentral